GACGAACGCUGGCGGCGUGCUUAACACAUGCAAGUCGAACGGAAAGGCCCUGCUUGCAGGGUACUCGAGUGGCGAACGGGUGAGUAACACGUGGGUGUUCUGCCCUCCACUUCGGGAUAAGCCUGGGAAACUGGGUCUAAUACCGGAUAGGAGCCAUCUUUAGUGUGAUGGUUGGAAAGUUUUUUGGGUGUAGGAUGAGCUCGCGGGCUAUCAGGUUGUUGGUGGGGUAAUGGCCUACCAACGCGGCGACGGGUAGCCGGCCUGGGAGGGUGGACGGCCAACAUGGGGCUGGGGAACGGGCCAGGCCCCUACGGGAGGCAGCAGUGGGGAAUAUUGCACAAUGGGCGCAAGCCUGGUGCAGCGACGCCGCGUGGGGGAUGACGGCCUUCGGGUUGUAAACUCCUUUCGCUAGGGACGAAGCUUUUUGUGACGGUACCUAGAUAAGAAGCACCGGCUAACUACGUG
Molecule: ribosomal RNA, 465 nt
Filed under: uncultured bacterium
Lineage: Bacteria
Description: partial 16S ribosomal RNA
Rfam family: Bacterial small subunit ribosomal RNA
Source: RNAcentral